CCCUUAGAUGUCCUGGGCCGCACGCGCACUACAAUGACUCACUCAGAAAGUUUUUCCUGAUCCGGAAGGAUUCGGGUAAUCUUCAUAGCAUGAGUCGUGUUAGGGAUCGAUCUUUGCAAUUAUAGAUCUUGAACGAGGAAUGCCUAGUAAGUGCAGCUCAUCAGGCUGUACUGAUUACGUCCCUGCCCUUUGUACACACCGCCCGUCGCUCCUACCGAUUGAGUGGUCCGGUGAACCUUCUGGAUUAAGCAGCAAUGCUUGAGAAGUUAGGUAAACCUUAUCACUUAGAGGAAGGAGAAGUCGUAACA
RNAcentral lists this ribosomal RNA (308 nucleotides) under uncultured eukaryote. RNAcentral describes it as "partial 18S ribosomal RNA". It matches the Rfam family "Eukaryotic small subunit ribosomal RNA", at positions 1470 to 1796 of the family's 1831-position model. The record is from RNAcentral.